This 253-nucleotide ribosomal RNA is filed under the name uncultured bacterium. RNAcentral describes it as "partial 16S ribosomal RNA". It matches the Rfam family "Bacterial small subunit ribosomal RNA", at positions 524 to 776 of the family's 1533-position model. The record is from RNAcentral.
UACGGAGGGGGCUAGCGUUGUUCGGAAUUACUGGGCGUAAAGCGCGCGUAGGCGGACCUGCAAGUCGGGGGUGAAAGCCCGAGGCUCAACCUGGGAAGUGCAUUCGAAACUACGAGGCUUGAGUCCUGGAGAGGAAGGCGGAAUUCUCGGUGUAGAGGUGAAAUUCGUAGAUAUCGAGAGGAACACCGGUGGCGAAGGCGGCCUUCUGGACAGUGACUGACGCUGAGACGCGAAAGCGUGGGGAGCAAACAGG